CAGAGCGUGUAAAAGCACUCGAAACCAUAGCGAACCUACCAGUGGGAUGUGUCGUUGCCUCGGCGGGCGGCCCCAGGGGGGGCCCGCGGCCCUACGGUGCCCGCCGGAGCUUCAAAAACUCUAGAUAUUUUAGUUACCUUCUGAGGAACAAGCAAAUAAGUUA
RNAcentral lists this unclassified non-coding RNA (163 nucleotides) under uncultured fungus. Its description in RNAcentral is "sequence contains ITS1, 5.8S rRNA gene". Lineage: Eukaryota; Fungi. The record is from RNAcentral.